CUGUUGCCUCAACUGAAGCAAACUCCUAUAGAGGAGAAACGGCAGACACAGCGCAGCCUGAGAGCCGGCUAUAGGGACGUGUACACACAGGGGGAAGAGAGGAGGCAUUGUGCUGACAAGAAAGCGGCUGGAGCCGGCGGGAACUAGACAGCAGCCCGGCCACUGUGCUCCACAGCCCUGCUGAGGGGAGACGAGUGCCCUCCCAUCUGUGCCUGUACAUCGACUGCUGAGGAGCGCGGGAGCCUGGGGAGAGCGUACCACCACAGUCACCCGGAGGGGAGAGCUCGUGUCCCCCCUCGCACCCCCGCUCUUUAAUGUGAUCGCCGUUCAUGUGUGUGGACACUCGGGGGCGGAAGAAGGAAAGUGCGGCUGUUGGUCUGGGCGCCGGUGAAGUUUCGUCGUUCUCCGCUGCUGGGGCUGCAGCGUCGCUCGUGCCCUCCACACGUCCAGCUUUCCGUCAUCCUCAUCAUUACUGGUGUUAGCGCUCCUCUUUCCCGAGAGAUUGGAUAAUGGUGGGGGAAAUGGAAACAAAGGAAAAACCCAAGCCGACCCCAGACUAUCUGAUGCAGCUAAUGAACGACAAGAAGCUCAUGAGCAGCUUGCCCAACUUCUGCGGGAUAUUUAACCACCUGGAGCGGCUCCUGGAUGAAGAGAUCAGCAGAGUACGGAAAGACAUGUACAACGACACGUUAAAUGGCAGUGGCAACCCUGACAGACGAUGUGCCGAAUUGCCAGAUGGAAUUGGACCUAUUGUACAGUUACAAGAAAAACUUUAUGUGCCUGUAAAAGAAUAUCCAGAUUUUAAUUUUGUUGGACGUAUCCUUGGACCCCGAGGACUAACAGCUAAGCAAUUGGAAGCAGAAACCGGAUGCAAGAUUAUGGUUCGAGGCAAAGGCUCAAUGAGAGAUAAGAAGAAGGAGGAACAAAAUAGAGGAAAGCCAAACUGGGAGCAUCUGAAUGAAGACCUGCAUGUACUGAUCACAGUAGAAGAUGCCCAAAACCGAGCAGAAAUUAAAUUAAGAAGAGCAGUGGAAGAAGUGAAAAAGUUACUGGUUCCUGCAGCUGAAGGAGAAGACAGUUUAAAAAAAAUGCAGUUGAUGGAACUGGCCAUACUGAAUGGCACUUACAGAGACGCCAACUUAAAAUCACCAGCCCUUGCCUUUUCUCUUGCAGCGACAGCUCAGGCACCACGGAUUAUAACUGGGCCUGCGCCUGUACUGCCCCCAGCUGCUCUGCGUACACCUACGCCAGCUGGCCCUACCUUAAUGCCUUUGAUCAGACAAAUACAGACAGCCGCUGUCAUGCCAAAUGGAUCCCCUCAUCCAACUGCUACACUAGUCUCACAGGGACCGGAAGCUGGCUUGAUCUACACACCGUAUGACUACCCUUAUACACUGGCCCCAGCAACAUCCAUCCUUGAGUAUCCUAUUGAAACAAGCGGGGUAUUAGGUAUGGCUUUCCCCACGAAAGGCUAAGAAUUCAAGAAAAUCUUAAAUGACCCUUCAAUGAUCAUCAGAUUUGAAAUUUAGCAUUUGCCUAGUUUCAGCAUUCUUGAACAAAAAAGUUACAUAAACUUUGCCUAGCAGUCAGUGACUUACUUGCACUUAUUUUUUAUUUUGCACAUAGAUGAAAUAAACCUUUUUAUGUUGAUCAAUAUUUGAUUUAGACUAUAAGUAGCCGUGAGUGUGUAGUAGAAUGCUGACUGCUAAGUUACCUACUUUGUGCGCUAUACUAAUCACUUAAUUCAUGUGGUUUCUACUUACUGAAUACUCAAAUCCUUGAAAAUAUACAACUGGAAUAUUAAUACAACUGAUGUCAGUAUUAAAGGAACACACUGUUAAAUUGCUAAAAGUUAAGCACUUCACUGAUUAUGUGACUAGUAAAGCUUCAUUAUUCUUGGGUCUAACAGAUUUCAAGACUUACUGCUAUUCGGUGGCAUGUAAAUGCAUUAUGAUGCCCUUCAGUGUCACAGGUGCUUGCAGACACCAACCGAAGUCACAGGGCUGAGCAGAUUAAGGCCAUUCGUGUGAUAUUAAAUGCAAUAUUCUGCACAUGUAUCUUUUAUAUAGCAAUGACUCCAAACUACUGUGCCUUAACGUCUUGCUUUCUUAAAUCUUUUUUUUUUUGUAGCAAAAUAUCACGUAAACUCCAGUUUUGAUGAACCCUGUUGUAAAUGUAUAGUGUGUACUUUUUAAAUGACUGUUGUGUUUCUAACGUUGUUUUGGUAAUUGCAAUUUAACUAGGUGCGGUGGCAACUAAAGUUCGAAGGCAUGAUAUGCGAGUCCAUCCUUAUCAAAGGAUUGUGACCGCAGACAGAGCCGCCACCGGCAACUAACCUAUGACCUUCUGACCUCUGAAUUCUUCACCCAAUGAUGACCUGACCAUGCCUGCCUGCUGAUCAGUUAACUGGUAAACGCCUCUGCUUGCCUGUCCUCAGUGCAGCAAGCUGAGGCUCUUGUCCGUUCGUCUUACCAUCUAACAAAAGACACAGAAAAAUGGUUAUCUUCCAACUCAACAUUUUUGCAUUUGUUUUUCUUUCCCUGAUUGGGUGAAAGUGAUUAUAGUAUCUGCACUGAAUUGUAGUAAAGCAAUAAGGUCCAAUUCAACCCUUCGCACUGAUCAUAUUCUAGUGUCCUAACCAAACGAACGGUAUCAAGGCUUCACCUACAGUACUGGCAAGACAACUGAUCCUCAACUACCAAUGACAGAGGCAGUUACUGUGAGAGACUCCUAGCGAACUCUAUUUUGUUUUUUUGUUUUUUUCUCUCGUAUAGUGAAGUAUAAAGCUGAAUGUACUGUGUUGUGAUGAUGCAUCAUGCAUGAACCUGAUUGGUCAGGGAAUUUCACUGGUGAAGUGAUUUUAUAUAUUUAAAAAAAUAUUAAAAUGAUCAAUUACUCUAGUCGCUACAGUACCCUCACAGUGUCAACUUUGCAGUUUCUUUUAUUUGUGAUUAUCACCUGCCAAAUUUAUUAAACUUAUAAGGGUGCCAUGACAUUAAGUUGUAAUCUUUUUACCCUGCUAUAAAAAUUAAUACUGCAGCAUUAUGUGCACACAAAUUUUGUGAUGCAAUUAGUAAAAUGUUAGUCACAAAGCCUCAAAUAUUAAAAUAUUGGAACAGGUACAUGCAUUAUGUAUCACAUUACUGGGCAAACUGUUCAAAUAUGUUUUACACCUCCCUGUAUAGAAAAAAAUAAUAAUUUAAGGAUGUAAAAGCCAUGCUUGCCUAUUUGCUGUAUAAUUGUAUUGAAAUUGUAGAUACAAGUGUAGUGCGUUGAAAACCUGAACAAAAAGUAGAUACUUUUACUAUACAAGGGUGCUGGUGCAGAAAAAAAUAUAUUUUUGGAAAUGUAGCAUUUUAUACUUUCAAGUGUUAUAAAAAAAGGAAAAACAAAAAAAAAAAUCAAAAAACAACCCUCUAUUGCAUUGAAUGCUUUUGUUUUGGUGGUAGUCAAGGAAUAAGACCAAAAAAGAGCCUUUUUUGUCUUUGUUUUUCUCCUUCACCCUUUUUCUCUUUCUUUAGUUUCAAUAUCUAUGUCUAAAGUCUAAGAAAAGAAAGUGCCUUAUUUUUCUCCAUGGUCAUUUAGUCCUGUGGUUUUUUUAUAGGUUUAUUCCUUUUUAUUUACGUCACGGUCAAUUGGCCUUUAGCAUGUUGCCAAGCAAGUUUGGAUAGGCCUCAAGCAGUAUGAGAAAUUCAAAAAUUCAGUUGAGCUGUAUAAUUCAGUCGCCCAGUACAAUAUUGUAUUAAGAACUUAACUGAUGGUAGCCACAAAAAGCUUUUCAUAAGUCAUAACUUUGUUGCCUGUACCUUAUGCCAACUACAUUUUAGUAUUGCCAAUCUCCUGUGUCUAUUGAACAGUUUUGUAAAAUGUUGCUGCAUAUGUAACAUUCUUAAGUAAUUUUGUUCUGUUACAAAUGUGGCAAUUUUCUGAGGUAUUUGUUCCCAGUAUUGUCAGCCCUGCCCUCUGUGUAGUGUAUUAUGCAGUCCCAAUUAAAGGUCAGCACUAAAACCUAGAGCUUUUAGAUUUCAAGCACCUUUGUGGUGACCUAGUCUCCCAUCUCACUGGAACGAAUUCUCAGUUGAUUUACUAUGCAACAGACAUUCAUGCUUUCCUAGUCAACAUCUACCUUUUUAAUCCCCAUGCCACCAGCUUUGUCUUCCUGGUCAUUAUAUACAGUAUAUCAGUUUAUUUUUGUUUCUUCCCUUUCCAGGGAAUGGUUUUGAACAAGUUUGGAACACUUUUGCAUUUAGAGAGAUCAAACCAUUUAAAAAUCAGUAUUUGAUCCAGAUUCAUCUCAGUUGUGAUAAACCUGGACCAUUUAUUCUUAGAUGACUUUAGAUUUUUUGGGGGAGUGGUGGAUGGUGUGAAAGUCUAUUAAAUAGACAUAUGUAAGUCAGAAUUUCUAUGAACAAACUUAGGAACAAAUGGGUCAACUUUAAUCUAAAAGCAUGACUAUUAAAAUCUCUGAAUGCCUUUGAUCUCAGUAUUAUGAUUUUUGUUUUCUUUAUAAUUAGUUUUUUUCAGUCUUUUUUUUUUUUCUUUGACAGUAUUAUAUUUUUUAUUUUUAGAGUGUUUAGAUGGGGAGUGUCGCUGAUAUGUAACCGUAUAGAUGAAACGUAUUUGUCUAUUCUUUAUAACCUUAGUAGUUUCAUGCUAUGUAUGUAUCAUAACCAACCUUUGCCUAAAAUGUAAAAUAAUGUAUUUACAGCCAUUGUUACAAGUUUAUAAUGUAUUUUUCUAUCUUGUUUUAUAUGUAUGUUAUAUAACAUUCAAAUGGAACUUUUCCUGAUUGAGAAAAAGGAUACAAAAUGCAAACCCCACAAUUUUGAUAACUAAAAUUGCCAAUUGUUUUGCAGUACUUUAUUAUAUUGGGAGUGUUGUCUUUCUUGGCUUCUAGUUAGCGACUGGAUGAGAUUAGACAUACUGGGUUUUAGUUGGGUUUUUACAUGGCUUGCAUUUUAAUUCUUUGGUUCUUUGCUGUUUCUUAUUAACCCCAUAGCAUUAUUUUAAUAAAUGUUAUAAUACCAAGAUACUAA
This is an RNA transcript of Bufo gargarizans (Asiatic toad), 5036 nucleotides long. It is a transcript of the gene named QKI, KH domain containing RNA binding, with no coding region annotated. The record is from RefSeq and is a predicted model, not a curated record. Lineage: Eukaryota; Metazoa; Chordata; Amphibia; Anura; Bufonidae. The transcript has 8 exons.